AGGAAUUAUAAACAUUCCUCUGUUCAGAAACUUAGCGACUAGCUAGGGUUUACUCCCCAUUCUCAACUUUUUCUCAAUCUUCAUCAUUUUUACAGCUUUGUUCCGCGAUUUGAUUGAAAUUUCUUCUUGAUUUCUUGGUUCAACGUCACGAUUUACGUUAAUAACUCUUCUUCUCUGAUUCUCGUGGUUUCAUGAGUUUUCGAUUUGGUGUUUUUGUUUUGGAAAUUUUAUUUUUUUGUUUUUUGACGUUGUGGUAUUAAGCGAUUGAGUUAUUUCAUGGAGAGGUCGUAUCUUUAAGAUUUUUGGAAAGAAAAUCUCGUGUAUUCACUCCAGAUCCAGUAUGGUUCAAGGAGACUUAGCAUUAACUUGAAAUUUGGUGAAAAUUUUAAAGGAACAUUUGAAGAAAAAAUAUUGUCAAAUUGGUGAUAACUUCAUUAAUGCUAUCUAUUGCAAUAAGAUGGUGAGUUGUGUCUAUGUUCAGGGACUUGAGGUAAUCAAUCAUAACAUUUUAUUCCUUAGCUGUUUGAAACCUAUUAAUGGUUGAGGUGGUCAAUUUUAAGUUUUUGGCAAUUGUGGAUUUGAAGAUCAUUUUUGUGUAGUAUUAUAAAUAUAGUUAUGCUAAAUUGGUGUCUUGGAGUUAGAAAAUUCAAUUGAUAUCCUGUAUUCAGUAGAAGACAAACAUCUUUUGAAGUAGAUAUUCUCACUGGUGAAUUCAGGAUUGAAGUUAAUUUGUGCAGAGACCUCUACUAUUUUUUUCCAACUAGAAAGAGGAAAGGCCAAUUUUCCUGUUAGCAAAAAAGGAACUUGCCAAUAACUUAUGUUCUGUCAAGGCUUUCAAUUCUCCCUAGUAAUUAAAUUACAAACAAUGGGUAAAAGCAAUACCAAGUUCAAAAUUAAAGUAAUUGUUGCACUAAACAAUCUACACCGCCUAUAUAUACACUUUGUAUGCAUAUAUAAGAAGAAACAACACUAUCUCCACUUACUUAGAACAGAGUCCAGAAAUAUUUUUCAAUCCCAUUUUUCAGAGAACAAGCUUUGAAAUUGUUGGAGUGUUGUGAAGCCCCAUUUCCCAACUAAAUUUGUUUGCAAAUUCAACAUGUUUGUACUUGUCCUUAUUGAUAGACCUAUUGGUAUUACAGUAACCAAGCCAUGGCUGGUAUGCAAAUUCCUUGCUUUAUAUCUAUAUAGGAUAACACAUGUUUCACCUUUUUUGGCCUCUGGAUCAAGUAGGGAUAAAUGUGCAUUUGAUAUGGGCAAAUCUUUAAUCGUAGAAAAGGGAUGAAGGUGCCUUUUAUAUGGGAAAAUCUUGGGUAUAUAUUCUCAUCUUAUGAUAACUUAAAUAUUUAAGGUACGUCUUGCUUAGUGAUUGUUGUUUUGCAUGCAUCUAAGUUUAGCAAAGGAAAUAUGAAACUCUCGAGCUAUGUUCCAACUUGAGGUGUAGUAUCGCUAAACAUCAUCUCAGAAAUCUUUUGAGCUGCAACCUUAUAGAAAUUCAAACAAUUGGGAUUGGUGAAGAACUGAAGAUUAUGCUAUUGCUAGUUGAUGAGUCAAUGAUCUCAAGUUUAAAUUCCCAUUAGCUCAUGGAUGCAUGCAGUAAAUUAUUCCCUUCUUUUAUUCUCAUUUAAGCUUUGCAUUUUCAGUUUUAUCAUUACGUGUGGCACAUUUGAGAGGAGGGGGUGGUGCCAGAAGAUGACAGUUGAAUCAACUCAUGAUUUAGAUUUCCUUCUGUUGCUGCUCUUACUCUUUCAUUUGCACGUGUAUGGGAUUUGGAGAUUUCUAUUUACAAGUCGAGAUGCAAGUUUGAAGAUCUUGAACAAGUUUUGACAAUUUUGUCAUCAUUUUGCUAGGGCAGUUUGGCAAAGUAUUUCAUUACUUAUAUACUUAGAGAUGUUAGUUCUUUAGGCAAAUGAGUUGUGUAAACAAUAUCGUGAUUAUAUUUUUUAAAAGAAUUCGACAUGUACGUGUGAUGCUAAUCUUUAGUUUUAAUUAAUACAAUUGAUGAUUU
This is a long non-coding RNA of Solanum stenotomum, 2005 nucleotides long. RefSeq lists it as uncharacterized. Lineage: Eukaryota; Viridiplantae; Streptophyta; Magnoliopsida; Solanales; Solanaceae. The transcript has 3 exons. The record is from RefSeq and is a predicted model, not a curated record.